GGACAAAGGUUGUCCAAACGAAGCUUAAGACCUGAGAAAGAUUAAUGGGCUUGAAGAAUCAAACGAAAGUUCAAUUUUUGGCCCAACUCGAGAAGGCCUCAAUGCCUUAGGGUCUAGAAGACAUUCGACCAAGUCAGGCCACACAUAUGCCCAACCUUGCGCCCAUGUGUAGAUUGAUAGCUCCACAUGCCUCGCAUGCGCACAAGUAUUGAUGUAAGCCCAUCCGAACACACACAUUGCACGCGUGCCCACACAACAAGUUAGGCAUCCAGCUCAUGUCUAGCAACGACCCUAGUCAGCAAGCUAAGCAUACGCCAAACAUGCAGCAGCUAGACGCACAAUCAGCGUGCAAUAUGUAUGCUGGCCCAGCCUUUGUUGGCAGGUUAUUUGUGCGACCUGCACUACCCCUUACAUGUGACCCAUGUGUUCAUUCUGGUGGAUCUGCACCGCGACGCGCAUGGCCCAGCAGGAGCACCUCGUGCACCCAACUAACAUGACUCGCAUGCCCCAUCCAGAUCGACCUGUACACCCAUUUGAACCAACCUGCAUGCCCACCUCGAGUUGACCCAUGCACCUGCUUCUUCCUGGCAGCAGCAGUUAGAGUCUUCUUUUUGGACUCU
RNAcentral lists this long non-coding RNA (620 nucleotides) under Carica papaya (papaya). Its description in RNAcentral is "long non-coding RNA (CPAP_LNC007885)". Lineage: Eukaryota; Viridiplantae; Streptophyta; Magnoliopsida; Brassicales; Caricaceae. The record is from RNAcentral.